RNAcentral lists this ribosomal RNA (253 nucleotides) under uncultured bacterium. Its description in RNAcentral is "partial 16S ribosomal RNA". It matches the Rfam family "Bacterial small subunit ribosomal RNA", at positions 524 to 776 of the family's 1533-position model. The record is from RNAcentral.
UACGAGGGGUCCAAGCGUUGUUCGGAAUUAUUGGGCGUAAAGCGGGUGUAGGCGGCUCUAUAAGUCAGAAGUGAAAGCCCUGGGCUCAACCCGGGAAGUGCUUUUGAUACUGCAGAGCUUGAAUGUGGGAGAGGGUAGUGGAAUUCCAGGUGUAGUGGUGAAAUACGUAGAUAUCGGGAGGAACACCGGUGGCGAAGGCGGCGACCUGGGUAGAUACUGACGCUGAGGUGCGAAAGCGUGGGGAGCAAACAGG